AGAGUUUGAUCCUGGCUCAGGACGAACGCUGGCGGCGUGCCUAAUACAUGCAAGUAGAACGCUGAAGGAGGAGCUUGCUUCUCUGGAUGAGUUGCGAACGGGUGAGUAACGCGUAGGUAACCUGCCUGGUAGCGGGGGAUAACUAUUGGAAACGAUAGCUAAUACCGCAUAAGAGUGGAUGUUGCAUGACAUUUGCUUAAAAAGUGCACUUGCAUCACUACCAGAUGGACCUGCGUUGUAUUAGCUAGUUGGUGGGGUAACGGCUCACCAAGGCGACGAUACAUAGCCGACCUGAGAGGGUGAUCGGCCACACUGGGACUGAGACACGGCCCAGACUCCUACGGGAGGCAGCAGUAGGGAAUCUUCGGCAAUGGACGGAAGUCUGACCGAGCAACGCCGCGUGAGUGAAGAAGGUUUUCGGAUCGUAAAGCUCUGUUGUAAGAGAAGAAUGAGUGGGAGAGUGGAAAGUUCACACUGUGACGGUAUCUUACCAGAAAGGGACGGCUAACUACGUGCCAGCAGCCGCGGUAAUACGUAGGUCCCGAGCGUUGUCCGGAUUUAUUGGGCGUAAAGCGAGCGCAGGCGGUUAGAUAAGUCUGAAGUUAAAGGCUGUGGCUUAACCAUAGUAGGCUUUGGAAACUGUUUAACUUGAGUGCAAGAGGGGAGAGUGGAAUUCCAUGUGUAGCGGUGAAAUGCGUAGAUAUAUGGAGGAACACCGGUGGCGAAAGCGGCUCUCUGGCUUGUAACUGACGCUGAGGCUCGAAAGCGUGGGGGGCAAACAGGAUUAGAUACCCUGGUAGUCCACGCUGUAAACGAUGAGUGCUAGGUGUUAGACCCUUUCCGGGGUUUAGUGCCGUAGCUAACGCAUUAAGCACUCCGCCUGGGGAGUACGACCGCAAGGUUGAAACUCAAAGGAAUUGACGGGGGCCCGCACAAGCGGUGGAGCAUGUGGUUUAAUUCGAAGCAACGCGAAGAACCUUACCAGGUCUUGACAUCCCUCUGACCGCUCUAGAGAUAGAGCUUUCCUUCGGGACAGAGGUGACAGGUGGUGCAUGGUUGUCGUCAGCUCGUGUCGUGAGAUGUUGGGUUAAGUCCCGCAACGAGCGCAACCCCUAUUGUUAGUUGCCAUCAUUUAGUUGGGCACUCUAGCGAGACUGCCGGUAAUAAACCGGAGGAAGGUGGGGAUGACGUCAAAUCAUCAUGCCCCUUAUGACCUGGGCUACACACGUGCUACAAUGGCUGGNNNNNNNNNNNNNNNNNNNNNNNNNNAAAGCCGGUGACGGCAAGCUAAUCUCUUAAAGCCAGUCUCAGUUCGGAUUGUAGGCUGCAACUCGCCUACAUGAAGUCGGAAUCGCUAGUAAUCGCGGAUCAGCACGCCGCGGUGAAUACGUUCCCGGGCCUUGUACACACCGCCCGUCACACCACGAGAGUUUGUAACACCCGAAGUCGGUGAGGUAACCGUAAGGAGCCAGCCGCCUAAGGUGGGAUAGAUGAUGGGGGUGAAGUCGUAAAAGGGUAGCCGUAUCGGAAGGUGCGGCUGGAUCACCU
This 1548-nucleotide ribosomal RNA is filed under the name Streptococcus pneumoniae. RNAcentral's name for it is "bacterial SSU rRNA". It matches the Rfam family "Bacterial small subunit ribosomal RNA". The record is from RNAcentral. Lineage: Bacteria; Bacillati; Bacillota; Bacilli; Lactobacillales; Streptococcaceae.